UUGCAUGUAUUUGUGAUGGCGAGUGAUCUAAUCCCUUAGGAAAACUUGGGCGACCGCUGUAAUACUUCUCUUUAAAACAGAGGCAGGUUGCGGCAAUAACAGGUCUUGUGAUGCCCUCAGAUGUCCCGGGCCGCACACGUGCUACAUUGAUUAGCGCAGUGCGCAUACUUUCAAUAUGAUACAUUGGAUUGGUGGUGAAUUGUUGGCCCCGUCUAAUACUGUCCUGUCUGAGAAGGCUGGGUAAUCAAUUGUAAGUGCUGGUUCCUACUCCCGUUGAGCAUUUUAAUAAUGGCCUCUCUACAUCCCUAGUAACCCUAGUGCGAUUGUAGUUGAGCCUUGCCAUUUAUGCAAGUGUCAAUUCUCAGUGGGGACAGACAUUUGAUAAUUCUUUGUCUCGUUCUUAACUAGGAAUGCCUUGUACGGGUCUUGGUUCAACAGACCACCCGGAAUACGUCCCUGCCCUUUGUAMACACCGCCCGUCGCUCUUACCGAUGACUUUCCCURAGAGU
This 509-nucleotide ribosomal RNA is filed under the name Globigerinella siphonifera. RNAcentral describes it as "partial 18S ribosomal RNA". It matches the Rfam family "Eukaryotic small subunit ribosomal RNA", at positions 1386 to 1726 of the family's 1831-position model. The record is from RNAcentral. Lineage: Eukaryota; Foraminifera; Rotaliida; Globigerinidae.